RNAcentral lists this long non-coding RNA (627 nucleotides) under Homo sapiens (human). RNAcentral's name for it is "HSALNT0235402". The record is from RNAcentral. Lineage: Eukaryota; Metazoa; Chordata; Mammalia; Primates; Hominidae.
ACGCCUUUAAAUGCCGGCUCUGGCCCAACUGAAAGACCAGGAGUGGUUCGUGAGAGCAGUUCCCACUGCUUCAGCCCCAAUUCAGAUAAAUCCACCUUUGUUGAAGCCACGUUGUGCCAGAUGCCACAGAGAAUUUUCAGAGGGCACACAAGCAGUGAAGACGCCGGACGCAUUACUGAGAUGUAGCGUGUGGAUGGGGCCAGGAGGAACGAGGGGCUCUGAUGGGACUGAGGGUGUGGUGGGAACGGCACUACAAGUGGGAAGGCAGGAUGCUGCCAAGGCAGGGCAUGGCGUCCACUCCCAGCCAUGAUAAAAAUCACGGGUGUCCGUCAGGCUCAUCCUCCUUCUAUAAACAAUUGUUUAACUGGAUGAAAUGUAAAUGAACUGUUUUCAGGCACUGCACAACAGAUAUUUCCACGUGCGCCGUAUAGGAAGGACUUCACAAGGCCUGGCCAAGACAAAGCGUUUUGCAUGGAGGAAAGAGUUUGGAGGUAAAACAGUGCUGGAAGACACUGUGUGACCCAAACAGCUUGAGUGGAAAGACCUCGCUGACAACCCCAGUAAGGCAGGUCUCAGGAGGACUAUCCUAGCCACAGGCUAAGGAUUGCUUGAGAACCUGCCCUCGCA